CGAAUCAUGAUGGCUGCUUUAAAAAAGAACUAUAUGCAGAAAAACUUAAUUGUGCUGACAUCUAUAAGCUGUGUAAUUUUUAUUUUUAAUUACACUGGCUUCUCUCUUUCUCUUGCAAAUUAGUUCUUUUUUUGUGGUAAUAUUAACAUCUUGGAUGGGAUCAGAAUGCUGCCGCUAGUAGUUCUUGGGUAAGACUUAGACUAGCACAAGGAUGUUAGACUCCAUGGAACUCUCAUAAUUCACUACUUUUGCUUUUAGCUGUCUUUGGUACACCCGGUAAGAUAGGGUGGGAUAGGGUAAGGUUAAGUAAGGCUCCUUCAUUAGUUAGUUAACAAAGAGGAAGGAUGAUCUUCAUGCCUGCGUUAAAAAUUUUUCCUUAUAUCCUUGCUUGCUGCAUUUGACACGAGGAAGUUUGCAUCUAAUUUCAUCUCAAAGUCAGAUGCCCAUAAAUUUAAUAUAUGAAUCCAGUUUAAUUGCUUAAGCACAAGUUUUGAUUUGAGCAUCUGUUCAACCUCUGGCUGAUACUUUAAGCUUUCAGUGAAUAAAACUUCGAAAUAUGUGUUAGUUGGCAAAUGAAUUUUAAGAUUGGAUCUGCUGUUGGAGAAGAUCAUGCUUUACAAAUUUUCAUGAAAAUGUGCAUCAGAAUUUAAAACUACAUAUAUCUUUUAGCAAUAGAUUCUUAUACAAUAUUUUUCUAAUACCUUCUUCAAAAUUUUUGGGUAGGGAACUUGGCAGUAUAUUGGAAGCAUUUUAGCAUAUAGUUCCAUCGUGUGGUUUACUUUUAAGUUGUUGGUAUAUUCUUUGGCAAGAUCAUCUUCCCCUCAUAUUAUCAUAAUCUUUUCUUCCUCUAUGUAAUUCUCUUCUUGUUGUUCCUACCUUCAUGGUUUCUAGGGCAAUUGCUUGGUAAUGUAAACAAUUUGUCCUACAAAGAAUUAAGAUCGGCAGCAGAUAAUUUUCAUUCAAGCAAGAAGAUAGGACGUGGUGGUUUUGGAACUGUUUACAAGGGAAUUCUAAGGAGUGGAAAAGAAGUUGCCAUUAAGACACUCUCUGCAGAAUCAAAGCAGGGAGUGCAUGAAUUUUUGACCGA
This is a non-coding RNA of Carica papaya (papaya), 1087 nucleotides long. NCBI's taxonomy places the organism in Eukaryota, Viridiplantae, Streptophyta, Magnoliopsida, Brassicales, Caricaceae. The record is from RefSeq and is a predicted model, not a curated record.